GGAUACAUUCCGGAAAGCGGGGGAUAGCCCAGGGAAACUUGGAUUAAUACCGCAUGUGGUCGAGAGACUAAAGACGGGGAUCGAAAGACCUGUCACUUUCCGAUUGGUCCGCGGCCUAUCAGCUAGUUGGCGGGGUAAAAGCCCACCAAGGCUACGACGGGUAGCUGGUCUUAGAGGACGACCAGCCACACUGGAACUGAGACACGGUCCAGACACCUACGGGUGGCAGCAGUCGAGAAUCUUUCACAAUGGGGGCAACCCUGAUGGAGCGACGCCGCGUGGAGGAUAAGGUCUUCGGAUUGUAAACUCCUGUCAUGCGUGAACAAGGUUGCUUGGUUACUACCUGGGCAAAUUGAUGGUAACGCAAGAGGAAGAGACGGCUAACUCUGUGCCAGCAGCCGCGGUAAUACAGAGGUCUCAAGCGUUGUUCGGAAUCACUGGGCGUAAAGGGUGCGUAGGUGGCGUGGUAAGUCAGAUGUGAAAGCCCGGGGCUCAACCUCGGAACUGCAUCCGAUACUGCCAUGCUAGAGUACUGGAGAGGUGACUAGAAUUCUCGGU
Molecule: ribosomal RNA, 558 nt
Filed under: uncultured bacterium
Lineage: Bacteria
Description: bacterial SSU rRNA
Rfam family: Bacterial small subunit ribosomal RNA
Source: RNAcentral